GAACUACAAAACUCACCGUUUCUC
This 24-nucleotide non-coding RNA is filed under the name Arabidopsis thaliana (thale cress). Lineage: Eukaryota; Viridiplantae; Streptophyta; Magnoliopsida; Brassicales; Brassicaceae. The record is from RNAcentral.